This 1075-nucleotide unclassified non-coding RNA is filed under the name Drosophila ananassae. Its description in RNAcentral is "GF27612". The record is from RNAcentral. Lineage: Eukaryota; Metazoa; Arthropoda; Insecta; Diptera; Drosophilidae.
UACGCUUUCUGAACUUUGUUAUUCAAGCCCUAAAUUGUUUUCAGUGAUUUGUCAAAGUUCUUAAAAUGUUAUCCAACCUUUUAUUCCUAAAAUUAAGUGUGACAGCAAUUCUGUGCAUAUAUAUGAUGUUACCAUUGAUUCUUUUUCUCGCCCCUCAAGACGAGGGGCGCCCAUUUUAUCAAAAAUUAAUGGCCUUUUUGAUCAUUUCUUUGUGGCCAAUAUUUACUUUUGUUUCGAUAGUCACCAUAUUAUUGUCACAACGAUAUCCGAAAUUAACUCUCGCAAGUGCUGUUGUUUGGCUAGUAAUAUCCCAUUUAACUCUCAUGUUUUUACUUCUUAACUGUGGAUUCGUGAAUGCUGUGCAUUGGUACGAUUUUCCGGACUUGUCUUUCAAACUCUUGAAAAACUGCAAACUAUCCUUAUUCAAGUAUCCUGAAAUGGGAUGGAUUCUUUUCGGCGAAACAUGGCCUCUCCUAUCGCCAGCUAAGGAAUAGCCAGGAUCGUCCUAUUGUUUUUCCUGUUGUGAGAAAUUAAAUUCAUAUAAAAUAUUUUAUUAUUCAUUGCCAUGUUUAAAAUCCAUCCGAACUCAUCAAGAUCGACAUCCAAAACUGGUGAGGCCAUUUAGAUUUCUGAUAUGCAUACCAUAAGCUAUUUGGAGCGAGAAACUAAACCAGUAAAAAUCUUUGAUCUGGCUGACAUAGCAUUCUUUGGAGCAUGCAACUUUUGUGGCUUGGCAGGAAUUUCUUUGUUACUGGGAGCUAUUGUGUUUCAUAGUGCAUUAAUAUGGAUAGCCGUGGGAAUACUUUUUUCUGUAACCAUUAUAGUUGGAAUAUACGUGUUUAUUUUGACAAUAACACAUUGGGAUGCGCAUAAUAUCCUGUUGGAUUUUGCGUAUAUCCUUACAGCUAUUUUAUUGACGGGAUCUCUCGUAUUUAUUACUGUAUCACUGUAUUUCUUUGGAAGUGAUAUGAAACAUGAAGAGGCCUCCCGUGACUGGAGAACACCAAAUUGUAAAGGUAAACGAGUGUUUAGGUGGUUUCAUGUAAGAGGAGUAUGGCGGUUGUUUAGAAGGAGG